GCCGGCUUAGCUCAACAGGUAGAGCAGCUCAAAUGUAAUGAGCAGGGAGGGGGUUCGAGUCCUUCAGCUGGCACCA
This 76-nucleotide transfer RNA is filed under the name Noviherbaspirillum sp. Root189. RNAcentral describes it as "tRNA-Thr". It matches the Rfam family "tRNA". Rfam says of the family: Transfer RNA (tRNA) molecules are approximately 80 nucleotides in length. Lineage: Bacteria; Pseudomonadati; Pseudomonadota; Betaproteobacteria; Burkholderiales; Oxalobacteraceae. The record is from RNAcentral.